GGGGUGGACCCCGGAUAAGGAGCCUGANAAACGGCUACUACAUCCAAGGAAGGCAGCAGGCGCGCAAAUUACCCAAUCCCGACACGGGGAGGUAGUGACAAUAAAUACUGAUACAGGGCUCUUUCNGGUCUUGUAAUUGGAAUGAGUACAAUUUAAAUCCCUUAACGAGGAACAAUUGGAGGGCAAGUCUGGUGCCAGCAGCCGCGGUAAUUCCAGCUCCAAUAGCGUAUAUUAAAGUUGUUGAGGUUAAAAAGCUCGUAGUUGAACCUUGGGCCUAGCCGGCCGGUCCGCCUCACCGCGUGCACUGGCUCGGCUGGGUCUUUCCUUCUGGAGAACCGCAUGCCCUUCAUUGGGUGUGCCGGGGAACCAGGACUUUUACUCUGAACAAAUUAGAUCGCUUAAAGAAGGCCUAUGCUCGAAUACAUUAGCAUGGAAUAAUAGAAUAGGACGUGUGGUUCUAUUUUGUUGGUUUCUAGGACCGCCGUAAUGAUUAAUAGGGACAGUCGGGGGCAUCAGUAUUCAAUUGUCAGAGGUGAAAUUCUUGGAUUUAUUGAAGACUAACUACUGCCAAAGCAUUUGCCANGGAUGGUUUCAUUAAUCAAGGAACCA
This 609-nucleotide ribosomal RNA is filed under the name Chaetomium cf. globosum 462/HC2. Its description in RNAcentral is "SSU rRNA". It matches the Rfam family "Eukaryotic small subunit ribosomal RNA", at positions 373 to 986 of the family's 1831-position model. The record is from RNAcentral. Lineage: Eukaryota; Fungi; Ascomycota; Sordariomycetes; Sordariales; Chaetomiaceae.